RNAcentral lists this long non-coding RNA (218 nucleotides) under Elaeis guineensis (African oil palm). RNAcentral's name for it is "long non-coding RNA (EGUI_LNC058321)". The record is from RNAcentral. Lineage: Eukaryota; Viridiplantae; Streptophyta; Magnoliopsida; Arecales; Arecaceae.
UUCAAGAUACAGGUUGAUCGCAGGAUCGAAUUGCAUAGUAACUUUCUACUGAAGGAUAUUUUUGAUAUUUUUAUUAAAAUUUUAUAUCUUUCAAGUAGAUAUGAUACAUUGUUAGAUAUCAAUAUAGUCUUAUGAGUUUGAUCAAAUUAAAGAGUUUAAUUCGAUCAUCAAUUAGAAAGGAUUCUAAUUGCUAAAAUCGGAUUAGCUCGAUUGGACCU